GGUCCCGUGGUGUAGCGGUUAGCACUCAGAGCUCUGGAUCCUGCGACGAAAGUUCAAAAUUUUGCCGGGUCUC
Non-coding RNA from Parelaphostrongylus tenuis, 73 nucleotides. The record is from the annotation of a GenBank genome assembly. NCBI's taxonomy places the organism in Eukaryota, Metazoa, Nematoda, Chromadorea, Rhabditida, Metastrongylidae.